RNAcentral lists this long non-coding RNA (240 nucleotides) under Carica papaya (papaya). Its description in RNAcentral is "long non-coding RNA (CPAP_LNC011338)". Lineage: Eukaryota; Viridiplantae; Streptophyta; Magnoliopsida; Brassicales; Caricaceae. The record is from RNAcentral.
AGGUUCUACCGCAUUUUGUUGUCGAAGCUUGAGGAGGAGUCUGAGUCACUGGCCUAGGCCUCUUGUUCUGCUGAACCGGUACAGAACUGGUCUGCAGUGUGAAACCGGGGGUCUUAGACUUUCCAGUACCAGAAAAAGAUACGAAGGUUCUUCUCUAAUAGCUGUGCCUUGGCCAAAACGGCUGAGUAAGUGCUGAGCUCAAACACGUACAACUAUUGUAUGAUCUCAGAAUGGUGGCCC